UACCCGCUCCCGCCUCCGUUUUAGUCUUCUAGGGGCGUCUAGCUACUCUACCCUACCGGACGACCCCCACCACGGUAGGCCACGUGGCGACGCUCUGUAGAGUUGGACCGGCGGCCGCAGCUAAGCCCUAACUCGAGCUGAGCACGAGUAGGACUUAACCUUCCGCUACCAACGCUCCAAGUGGAAGUCUCGCGUCUCCUCCUCUAGCUUAAACAAGCCUCCGCUCUAAACUUCUCUUGUUCCGGUUGUUACUGACGCUUAAGACCACUCGACUUACUUUAAACCUCUUCCCUUCUCUAGUUCCGGUCUGUCUCCAGGUCUCUCUUUCUCUAAAAUCUCCCACUUAUAUUGUGACCCAUAAAGUUUCGUCACCGCUUAGUCUUCUCCUCCUUCUUCGUUUAACUAUACGAUCUUUGGGGAAGUCCAGGGUACCUCCUGUGGGUUCCGAUAAACCUCCUCUUGUUGUAGUUUAUACAGAUGUACCCCCACGGAGAGGAGUCCUCCACGGUCUCCGUUUGACCUCACCCAACACCUUUUCGACCUCUGUUUUCGCUCUUCGGGAGGAGACAACGAUACCGGUCUAGGACCGACUCCGCCCCUAUGAGGAAAAUC
This 612-nucleotide ribosomal RNA is filed under the name Triticum aestivum (bread wheat). RNAcentral's name for it is "partial small subunit ribosomal RNA". The record is from RNAcentral. Lineage: Eukaryota; Viridiplantae; Streptophyta; Magnoliopsida; Poales; Poaceae.